This 506-nucleotide ribosomal RNA is filed under the name uncultured bacterium. Its description in RNAcentral is "partial 16S ribosomal RNA". It matches the Rfam family "Bacterial small subunit ribosomal RNA", at positions 29 to 523 of the family's 1533-position model. The record is from RNAcentral.
AACGAACGCUGGCGGCAGGCCUAACACAUGCAAGUCGAACGGCAGCACAGGAGAGCUUGCUCUCUGGGUGGCGAGUGGCGGACGGGUGAGGAAUACAUCGGAAUCUACCUUUUCGUGGGGGAUAACGUAGGGAAACUUACGCUAAUACCGCAUACGACCUUAGGGUGAAAGCGGAGGACCUUCGGGCUUCGCGCGGACAGAUGAGCCGAUGUCGGAUUAGCUAGUUGGCUGGGUAAAGGCCCACCAAGGCGACGAUCCGUAGCUGGGCUGAGAGGAUGAUCAGCCACACUGGAACUGAGACACGGUCCAGACUCCUACGGGAGGCAGCAGUGGGGAAUAUUGGACAAUGGGCGCAAGCCUGAUCCAGCCAUGCCGCGUGGGUGAAGAAGGCCUUCGGGUUGUAAAGCCCUUUUGUUGGGAAAGAAAAGCAGUCGGUUAAUACCCGAUUGUUCUGACGGUACCCAAAGAAUAAGCACCGGCUAACUUCGUGCCAGCCGCCGCAGUAA